UUUAAAGCCAUUGUUUCCUUGUUGGUUUUCCACUUAUUUAUCUGCCCAUUAAUGUAAGGGUGGGUGUUAAAGUCCCCUGCUAUUAUUGUAUUAUUAUCAAUGAGUUCCUCCAUAUUUGUUAUUAAUGGUUUUAUAGAUUUGGUGUUCUAUGUGGG
Molecule: long non-coding RNA, 155 nt
Organism: Leopardus geoffroyi (Geoffroy's cat)
Lineage: Eukaryota; Metazoa; Chordata; Mammalia; Carnivora; Felidae
Exons: 3
Source: RefSeq, a predicted model, not a curated record